CGAUCAGAGGGGAUUUUUCCCCAUCUGUGGGGUUACAACCCACCGCCUAAAAUCAGCCAUCUAACC
This 66-nucleotide transfer RNA is filed under the name Salea horsfieldii. RNAcentral describes it as "tRNA-Tyr". The record is from RNAcentral. Lineage: Eukaryota; Metazoa; Chordata; Lepidosauria; Squamata; Agamidae.